CUCUACGGCCAUGCCACCCUGAACAAGCCCGAACCCCUCUGAUCUCGGAAGCUAAGCAGGGUCGGGCCUGGUUAGUACUUGGAUGGGAGACCACCUAGGAAGACCAGGUGCUGUAGGUG
RNAcentral lists this ribosomal RNA (119 nucleotides) under Pteropus alecto (black flying fox). Lineage: Eukaryota; Metazoa; Chordata; Mammalia; Chiroptera; Pteropodidae. The record is from RNAcentral.